Molecule: ribosomal RNA, 367 nt
Filed under: uncultured bacterium
Lineage: Bacteria
Description: bacterial SSU rRNA
Rfam family: Bacterial small subunit ribosomal RNA
Source: RNAcentral
GGUAGCCGACCUGAGAGGGUGACCGGCCACACUGGGACUGAGACACGGCCCAGACUCCUACGGGAGGCAGCAGUGGGGAAUAUUGCACAAUGGGCGGAAGCCUGAUGCAGCGACGCCGCGUGAGGGAUGAAGGCCUUCGGGUUGUAAACCUCUUUCAGCAGGGACGAAGCGUGAGUGACGGUACCUGCAGAAGAAGCACCGGCUAACUACGUGCCAGCAGCCGCGGUAAUACGUAGGGUGCGAGCGUUGUCCGGAAUUACUGGGCGUAAAGAGUUCGUAGGCGGUUUGUCGCGUCGUUUGUGAAAACCCGGGGCUCAACUUCGGGCUUGCAGGCGAUACGGGCAGACUUGAGUGUUUCAGGGGAGAU